ACGCGCUGGAGGACCGAACCCACGUAAGUUGAAAAUUGCGGGGAUGAGUUGUGGGUAGCGGUGAAAUUCCAAACGAACUUGGAGAUAGCUGGUUCUCUCCGAAAUAGCUUUAGGGCUAGCCUCGCAAAGAGGAUGCUGGAGGUAGAGCUCUGUUUGGACUAGGGGCCCGUCAAGGGUUACUGAAUUCAGAUAAACUGCGAAUUCCAGACAUUUAUGUGCGGGAGUCAGACUGCGAGUGAUAAGAUCCGUAGUCGAAAGGGAAACAGCCCAGAUCACCAGUUAAGGUCCCAAAAUUCAUGCUAAGUGGAAAAGGAUGUGGAGUUGCGCAGACAACUAGGACGUUGGCUCAGAAGCAGCCAUCAUUCAAAGAGUGCGUAAUAGCUCACUAGUCGAGUGACGCCGCGCCGAAAAUUUACCGGGGCUAAGCAUGAUACCGAAACUGUGGAUGUGCAUUUAUGCACGUGGUAGGAGAGCGUUCUAGCGGCGGUGAAGCAUGACCGAGAGGACAUGUGGAGCUUCUAGAAGUGAGAAUGCCGGUAUGAGUAACGAAAGACAGGUGAGAAUCCUGUCCGCCGCAAGACUAAGGUUUCCUGGGGCAGGCUCGUCCGCCCAGGGUAAGUCGGGACCUAAGGCGAGGCCGAGAGGCGUAGUCGAUGGACAACAGGUUGAAAUUCCUGUACUGCACCGAAUCGUUAUGAGCGAUGGAGGGACGCAGGAGGCUAGCAGCGCGUGGUGCUGGAUACCACGUUCAAGCGUCAAGUCUGAGAGCGAGUCAAAUGCUUGCUCUCAUAAGGACAAGGCGUGAUGAGGAGCGAAAUUAAAGUAGCGAAGGCUGCGACGUCACACUGCCGAGAAAAGCUUCUAGCCAGAGACGGUGCACCCGUACCGCAAACCGACACAGGUAGUCGAGGAGAGUAUCCUCAGGUGAGCGAGAGAACUCUCGUUAAGGAACUCGGCAAAAUGGCCCCGUAACUUCGGGAGAAGGGGCGCUGGUCGCAAGAUCAGCCGCAGUGAAAAGGCCCAAGCAACUGUUUAUCAAAAACACAGGCAUCUGCAAAAUCGUAAGAUGAAGUAUAGGUGCUGACACCUGCCCGGUGCUGGAAGGUUAAGAGGAGAGCUUAGCGCAAGCGAAGGUUUGAAUUGAAGCCCCAGUAAACGGCGGCCGUAACUAUAACGGUCCUAAGGUAGCGAAAUUCCUUGUCGGGUAAGUUCCGACCUGCACGAAAGGUGUAAUGAUUUGGGCACUGUCUCAACGAGAGACUCGGUGAAAUUAUAAUACCCGUGAAGAUGCGGGUUACCCGCGACAGGACGGAAAGACCCCAUGGAGCUUUACUGCAGUUUAAUAUUGGGUAUCUGUCAAGCAUGUACAGGAUAGGUAGGAGCCGGAGAAGAUAGGACGCCAGUCUUAUC
RNAcentral lists this ribosomal RNA (1410 nucleotides) under Lactobacillus delbrueckii subsp. bulgaricus. RNAcentral's name for it is "partial 23S ribosomal RNA". It matches the Rfam family "Bacterial large subunit ribosomal RNA", at positions 761 to 2181 of the family's 2925-position model. Lineage: Bacteria; Bacillati; Bacillota; Bacilli; Lactobacillales; Lactobacillaceae. The record is from RNAcentral.